Molecule: long non-coding RNA, 394 nt
Organism: Ornithorhynchus anatinus (platypus)
Lineage: Eukaryota; Metazoa; Chordata; Mammalia; Monotremata; Ornithorhynchidae
Exons: 3
Source: RefSeq, a predicted model, not a curated record
ACGGACAGCACGGUGCAGUUGGCCGCCUUGGCUUGCAGGUCCUGCAGGGCGGGGCUGAGCCAGCAGAAGCCGAAGACGAAGAGCGACGUGAUGCCCGAGAUGAUGAGCAGCAAGCCCAGGCGGAUGCUUUUGUCUUCCGCUUCCGUGUACUCAUGAGGUCGCUGAGGCCCAGAGAAGUAAAGUGACUUUACUCAAAACGUCCUGUUUAUGUGAAACAGCUGCUGGGCAUCAGAACGUGAGACCACCGGCGGCGCCCAACCAGAUCGAAGCAGUGACCCACCUGGCUCCCUAUUUUGUCUCUUCGGUGGCAAGAAAAGAAAAAGGGAACUUGGAGUAACUUUGACGGUUGCCCUUGGUUGGUUAUAAUAAACUUACUAAUCCUUUUUCAAUGAAA